UAAAAUACAUUUUAAAAUUCUGACUUCAACUAACUGACAUUUCACAUUUACAAUAAACUAACUUAGCUAACUCAUUCACAUGGCAUUCACAUAAUCCAAUAACAAACUAAUUUCCUAAAAUUCAAACAGUUUGAUCAACUUCCUUAAUGCAUAACACCAAAUUGGUUGAUUUUCAUCUAAGCAUGUUCCUUCAUUCAUCACUAACCCUAGUUGCUUCAGUGUAAGCAUUUAAUUAAUCUUUUC
This 243-nucleotide long non-coding RNA is filed under the name Lathyrus oleraceus (garden pea). RNAcentral describes it as "Pisum sativum (pea) long non-coding RNA (PSAT_LNC008493)". The record is from RNAcentral. Lineage: Eukaryota; Viridiplantae; Streptophyta; Magnoliopsida; Fabales; Fabaceae.